AGUGAACAUGCAAAAACUGGAUUGCGUCCAGACAUUCUCUUCUAUAGUUUGAUGCACGUAUCUUUGACCCGAUCUACGCACAGUGUGAUAUAGUGAGGCACACCGGAACCACAGUGAAACGCCCAUGAGAUAAUGUAUGGAAUCGGAGAGCUCUGAGUAACGUUCUAAGAAUUUUAGGACAGUCAAACCAGCAAAUGUUUUUGUUUUUUUUGCCUUUUGUGUCGUCAAAGCAAAGCUGAGGUAUUCCUACGGGUGCAAAAGCAAGCGGCAGCAUGGAUAUUGGUGUUAGCAGAAGCAGCUAACAUAAACAUUCCAGUACCCAGUGUUGACCUAUUGACCUCUAAACCCUAGAACGGCAGGGGGCCAGCAGCAGGAGACCACACACACGUGGUGGGAGGAAGAGCGGGGAGGAAGCACAACCUCUUCGGAGCUUCAGAUGCCACCGCUAAUCUGCCCAUCCUCUUAACAUCGGUGCAGUCUUUCCUCCCAGGGAUCGUCACAUGGACACAGUGUCAGAAUGUGGCUUUCACAGCUGAAAAAGUUAUUCCGAAGAAAAGCACAGAUCUCGUUCUCCCCUCAGUUUUGGAUCAACCAGCGGUUUUCUUCAUGAAUCUGGAGAUUGUGUCAUAGAUUCCUUGGGCGAGACUAGAAAUCUCCACAGUUAAAAUAUGUUUUUCCACUGAAUCACAUCUGCCGUCCGCUCACCAGAGGGAAACUAGAUCUUCUGCCUAUUUAUGAGCAAACUUUUUCAAAUCCGAUUAACAACUUUAGUCUUUCUUUUAAAUGAUUGAUUUCAAAAUGAUCUGAUUAUACGGUCAACUUCUGCCAAGAUUCUGUUUCAAUGUGAACACUGAGGACUCGGCUUUGCCAUGAGUGCAGAAACAAUAAUUCCUCCCCUCAUUUUGCAUUCUUUCCUCCCGUCUGUGUGCUGCUCUUCUAACCCCGUCUCACUCUUCCGAGGCGCAAAGCGUCUCCUGCAGCCAUGUGCGUCCCCACGAGGUCUGGCCUGGCCCGCAUUCAGCCAUGACCACAUAGGACGGGGCCGGGGCCUCUACACCCCCCCCUUAAGUCUGCAACUCCCCACUUCCCUUUCGAAGGCCUGUCCAUGGCUGGCUGACGCUUUUCAGGAAGCACAGCACUUAUAUCUUCCCGCACAUAUUGCACUCCUCCACCCACCCGCGCCUCUGUGAAAUCUGGUGGUGAGGAGCAGUGAACCCAGGAGUGAUGGAAGGAGGCUUAUGAUGUUGAUCACACAGCGACAGUGCAUCGUUGCCAACAUAGACUUUGGCGCCAUCCCAACAGAGGCUGCGUGUUCACACAAAGCCAACCUUGUUUGGGAGACACGGCAUGCCAGCUGCGGAGCAAAAUACUUUAAGCUGAUCAGGAAGGGAGAGAUCACAAAGGGUCACAUCCCAUAGGCCAGCUUUAAACUUUGACCUUCGAGUCCUUCUUCAAUUUAAUGUCCCCACUUUCUCGACAUCGCGAGGGAUUCCAGCGCUGCGCAGGAACAGAAGGACAGUCUCACAGAUCUGACAAUAACGAAUUUCAUUCAUUCAGUUAAUCUUUUCCUCAGUAAUCUUAAUUUAUUUUUACAUGUAUACGUUAGGCUUGCAUAGACGUAUUAAAAUAACUGUGUUUGGCCC
Gasterosteus aculeatus aculeatus (three-spined stickleback) is the source of this 1643-nucleotide long non-coding RNA. NCBI's taxonomy places the organism in Eukaryota, Metazoa, Chordata, Actinopteri, Perciformes, Gasterosteidae. The record is from Ensembl.